Molecule: ribosomal RNA, 1493 nt
Filed under: Lacticaseibacillus paracasei
Lineage: Bacteria; Bacillati; Bacillota; Bacilli; Lactobacillales; Lactobacillaceae
Description: bacterial SSU rRNA
Rfam family: Bacterial small subunit ribosomal RNA
Source: RNAcentral
GAUGAACGCUGGCGGCGUGCCUAAUACAUGCAAGUCGAACGAGUUCUCGUUGAUGAUCGGUGCUUGCACCGAGAUCCAACAUGGAACGAGUGGCGGACGGGUGAGUAACACGUGGGUAACCUGCCCUUAAGUGGGGGAUAACAUUUGGAAACAGAUGCUAAUACCGCAUAGAUCCAAGAACCGCAUGGUUCUUGGCUGAAAGAUGGCGUAAGCUAUCGCUUUUGGAUGGACCCGCGGCGUAUUAGCUAGUUGGUGAGGUAAUGGCUCACCAAGGCGAUGAUACGUAGCCGAACUGAGAGGUUGAUCGGCCACAUUGGGACUGAGACACGGCCCAAACUCCUACGGGAGGCAGCAGUAGGGAAUCUUCCACAAUGGACGCAAGUCUGAUGGAGCAACGCCGCGUGAGUGAAGAAGGCUUUCGGGUCGUAAAACUCUGUUGUUGGAGAAGAAUGGUCGGCAGAGUAACUGUUGUCGGCGUGACGGUAUCCAACCAGAAAGCCACGGCUAACUACGUGCCAGCAGCCGCGGUAAUACGUAGGUGGCAAGCGUUAUCCGGAUUUAUUGGGCGUAAAGCGAGCGCAGGCGGUUUUUUAAGUCUGAUGUGAAAGCCCUCGGCUUAACCGAGGAAGCGCAUCGGAAACUGGGAAACUUGAGUGCAGAAAAGGACAGUGGAACUCCAUGUGUAGCGAUGAAAUGCGUAGAUAUAUGGAAGAACACCAGGUGGCGAAGGCGGCUGUCUGGUCUGUAACUGACGCUGAGGCUCGAAAGCAUGGGUAGCGAACAGGAUUAGAUACCCUGGUAGUCCAUGCCGUAAACGAUGAAUGCUAGGUGUUGGAGGGUUUCCGCCCUUCAGUGCCGCAGCUAACGCAUUAAGCAUUCCGCCUGGGGAGUACGACCGCAAGGUUGAAACUCAAAGGAAUUGACGGGGGCCCGCACAAGCGGUGGAGCAUGUGGUUUAAUUCGAAGCAACGCGAAGAACCUUACCAGGUCUUGACAUCUUUUGAUCACCUGAGAGAUCAGGUUUCCCCUUCGGGGGCAAAAUGACAGGUGGUGCAUGGUUGUCGUCAGCUCGUGUCGUGAGAUGUUGGGUUAAGUCCCACAACGAGCGCAACCCUUAAGACUAGUUGCCAGCAUUUAGUUGGGCACUCUAGUAAGACUGCCGGUGACAAACCGGAGGAAGGUGGGGAUGACGUCAAAUCAUCAUGCCCCUUAUGACCUGGGCUACACACGUGCUACAAUGGAUGGUACAACGAGUUGCAAGACCGCGAGGUCAAGCUAAUCUCUUAAAGCCAUUCUCAGUUCGGACUGUAGGCUGCAACUCGCCUACACGAAGUCGGAAUCGCUAGUAAUCGCGGAUCAGCACGCCGCGGUGAAUACGUUCCCGGGCCUUGUACACACCGCCCGUCACACCAUGAGAGUUUGUAACACCCGAAGCCGGUGGCGUAACCCUUUUAGGGAGCGAGCCGUCUAAGGUGGGACAAAUGAUUAGGGUG